RNAcentral lists this ribosomal RNA (253 nucleotides) under uncultured bacterium. RNAcentral describes it as "partial 16S ribosomal RNA". It matches the Rfam family "Bacterial small subunit ribosomal RNA", at positions 524 to 776 of the family's 1533-position model. The record is from RNAcentral.
UACGUAGGGUGCAAGCGUUGUCCGGAAUUAUUGGGCGUAAAGAGCUCGUAGGCGGUUUGUCGCGUCUGCUGUGAAAACCCGAGGCUCAACCUCGGGCCUGCAGUGGGUACGGGCAAACUAGAGUGCGGUAGGGGAGAAUGGAAUUCCUGGUGUAGCGGUGGAAUGCGCAGAUAUCAGGAGGAACACCGAUGGCGAAGGCAGUUCUCUGGGCCGCAACUGACGCUGAGGAGCGAAAGCAUGGGGAGCGAACAGG